GGAACAUGGCGGCGUGCUUAAAAUGCAAGUCGAGCGGACCGACGGGAGCUUGCUCCCUUAGGUCAGCGGCGGACGGGUGAAAGAGAGGUGGGUAACCUGCCUGUAAGACUGGGAUAACUUCUUUGAAACCGAGUCUAAUACCGGAUGCUUG
This 151-nucleotide ribosomal RNA is filed under the name Bacillus licheniformis. RNAcentral describes it as "partial 16S ribosomal RNA". It matches the Rfam family "Bacterial small subunit ribosomal RNA", at positions 37 to 179 of the family's 1533-position model. The record is from RNAcentral. Lineage: Bacteria; Bacillati; Bacillota; Bacilli; Caryophanales; Bacillaceae.